This 176-nucleotide long non-coding RNA is filed under the name Fukomys damarensis (Damara mole-rat). RNAcentral's name for it is "lncRNA (ENSFDAG00000022015.1)". The record is from RNAcentral. Lineage: Eukaryota; Metazoa; Chordata; Mammalia; Rodentia; Bathyergidae.
CGAACACCCUGUGCCUGUGCUUGCUGGUGCACAAAUGACCAGAGAUUCCUCCUGGGCCUUGAAGAGGCUAUUUUGAAAACUGCUCAGUGGCAGAUGAGGGAAACUUAUCUGUAUUAUUACAGAAGAGAGAGCAUUUCUGUCUCUUUACCUUGAAACAAAAUGGAGUCUUGGUAAGC